Molecule: long non-coding RNA, 1220 nt
Filed under: Ficedula albicollis (Collared flycatcher)
Lineage: Eukaryota; Metazoa; Chordata; Aves; Passeriformes; Muscicapidae
Description: lncRNA (ENSFALG00000028282.1)
Source: RNAcentral
AGGACCAGGGACCAGCAGGGUGUUGGGGUACAGAGCUCCCUGGGUCAUCCUGUCCCCAGCCCUGGGCAGGGACAUGUUCACUCUUGCUUUAUGUAUUUCAGCUCCAGAAGAAGAGAGAAGCUGCUCCUGGCUGAACAUCUGGGUCUUCCUUACGUUUGCUCUUGCAAUCAAAGCUGCCUUUGUGACAAUCUGCCUUGGAAGGCAAAAGAAGGAAUAGUAUCUCUGAGCAAACAGAGCUUUCAUGGCUAACUGAGGAAGAUUCUGACCCUUUUGGAUCCUCACAGGGAGGAGCAGUUCCACAGCAGAUCGAGCCUGGAUGUGCUGCCCAGAGGGCUGGAGAAGGUUUCAAAGAAAAUGCUAUUUCCUGUCCCUUGAUACAAUGAACUGGGCUGAGAGUGAGCAGAACUGCACGGGGAUGGACUCCCAGCUGGUGGUGAUCAACAGCAAGGCAGAGCAGGUGGGUGCCCAGGGCUGAGAGAGGGAGCCAGCAGGCAGAGACACAGUGCUGGGCCCUGGAGGGGAUUCAGAGCCUGUCCUUGUCCUGCAGAGGAGGAGGAAUGUCCUGUCUGCACCUCUGCAGCACCAGCCCCUCUCCUCUGCCACCAUCUCCACAACACAGGGACUCCUGAUGCCUCCCUGUGCUCACUCCUGCACCUCAUGAAUAUUGCACUCUCUCUGUAAUUGCCAGGUUUUCCUCUCUGAACAGACAAACCAUCUCGAAAAAGGGAGAAUUUCCACAUUGGUCAGUUUGCCGAGAAGGUGGCCUAUGGCAUUGGGUGGAUGAGACUCCAUAUGAUGUGACAGCAGCGUUCUGGAGAAAACAUGAACCAAGUCGUGGCGUUGGUGAGAACUGCACUGUAAUCCAGAAUCCUGAAAAAAAUCUCAACAACUGGAAUGAUGUCAGAUCAGAUAAGGAGCAUUAUCGAAUUUGUGAAGCUUCUGCUGUAACUGUGUGAUGGAAAUACCCCUGUCCUGAGCAAAGCUGGGAGCUGUGCAGCGAGCUGGGAACAGCACUGGCUGUGUUGGGAGGGGUGGGGAGCCAUGACACAUCUUCACUGUGUGGGAAGAGACCAUGUGUGUGAGGAAGUGAAAUGAGCUUCAUCCAGCAUCCCCAGUGCAUGGUGCUCAGUGCAUGGGGUGGCUCAGAACAAUUUGCAGAACAAAUCCUGAAAACUUGGACAAGACAAAAUACAAUAGCAGAGAAAUGAAAAAAGGCUCUG